GGGCGGUUGGCUCAGUGGUAGAGCAUUACCUUCACACGGUAGGGGUCACUGGUUCGAAUCCAGUACCGCCCACCA
RNAcentral lists this transfer RNA (75 nucleotides) under Vampirovibrio sp. Its description in RNAcentral is "tRNA-Val". It matches the Rfam family "tRNA". Rfam says of the family: Transfer RNA (tRNA) molecules are approximately 80 nucleotides in length. Their secondary structure includes four short double-helical elements and three loops (D, anti-codon, and T loops). Further hydrogen bonds mediate the characteristic L-shaped molecular structure. tRNAs have two regions of fundamental functional importance: the anti-codon, which is responsible for specific mRNA codon recognition, and the 3' end, to which the tRNAs corresponding amino acid is attached (by aminoacyl-tRNA synthetases). tRNAs cope with the degeneracy of the genetic code in two manners: having more than one tRNA (with a specific anti-codon) for a particular amino acid; and 'wobble' base-pairing, i.e. permitting non-standard base-pairing at the 3rd anti-codon position. Lineage: Bacteria; Bacillati; Candidatus Melainabacteria; Vampirovibriophyceae; Vampirovibrionales; Vampirovibrionaceae. The record is from RNAcentral.